GCCCUCGUAGCACAACGGAUUGUGCGGCUCGGUUCUAACGAGACGGUUGGGGGUUCGAUUCCUCUCGAGGGCA
RNAcentral lists this transfer RNA (73 nucleotides) under Parcubacteria group bacterium. RNAcentral describes it as "tRNA-Arg". It matches the Rfam family "tRNA". From Rfam's summary of the family: Transfer RNA (tRNA) molecules are approximately 80 nucleotides in length. Their secondary structure includes four short double-helical elements and three loops (D, anti-codon, and T loops). The record is from RNAcentral.